ACUGAAGCCUCGACCAAGCUCGCACAGAGGGCGAAUGGUCCAGCCGGAAACUCACGUAGCCUCAGGAGUCCUGUUUAAUAAUCUGGGGUCACAGGAUGCAGCAACACAGCGAUUGUCCUCUCUGAUUGGCUGCACUGGUCAGUUUUUUCUCAUGAAGGCAUAGAACAAUGGAUCUGAUAAAUAUACUCAAUGCACCACAGAAGAUAUCUGUGAUCCCACUGCCCAGUUCCUCAGCUAAACCCACAGGUAAAUAAACUAUUUGUUGUUGGACAUGUCCUUACACAAAUUAGCAGAUGGAACUGACUCUCAGAUGAAAAAAGCCUGAUGGGUGGGUUGUUUAAAACUAAGUUAGUUUCCCUAAACACCUCAUGAAAUUAAAUUAGGAGACAAGCCUCACAUUAAGUGUGGUAAAAAUGGAAUGAAAUAAUUUUGAAAAAUAAAAAAAUAGUGGCAUGUUGAUAAAGCCAC
This 468-nucleotide long non-coding RNA is filed under the name Chinchilla lanigera (long-tailed chinchilla). Its description in RNAcentral is "lncRNA (ENSCLAG00000027528.1)". The record is from RNAcentral. Lineage: Eukaryota; Metazoa; Chordata; Mammalia; Rodentia; Chinchillidae.